GUUUAUUUUAUUAUUUAUUUGGAACUCUCUCUCUCUCUCUGUGCUCUUGAUAUUUUCUAACGCAACCACCUUUAGUUUCUUUCUCUCGAAUUUUUUUUCCCACUUCUCACUUCUUUGAUUCCUUUCAUCGUUCCCCCUCAUGAAUUUGUAUAAGGAGCUAGCGGAGAACAUCACAGGGAGGUGAACCACCAAGGACGCCACUGCACCACCUCUCUCUCUCUCUCUCUCACACACACACACACACACAGACGACACUCGGCAGCAACUGCAAAUAAUCGACCUCCACCAAAUCUUCGUCGCCUAGUUGUCUUCGAUCUCGAUACAAACGUUCAAAAAACUAAGAUGAACCCUGUUCCCAAGCUCAUAAUUGUAGUCGUACUUGUUGAGUUGUGUGGAAGUCCUCAAGAGUGAAUGAAACGCCUUCCAUUGGUGCAGUGCAACACCGCUUGUAGGCCUCCUCGAAGAGUUCUUUGAGCUUGAUCCUUUCUUUGAUCUGAGCGUUUGAGAUUGCCACUGCUGUUGAGACAAUGAGAGAUACAGAAGUGAGCUUCUGAUGGAUUUGUUUAGAAGAGAAUAAUGGCUUUGAGAGCUGCGACUGCGAGGAAGAGUACUGUUGGACAUUUCAGCCCUGUGAAUUGCUGAGUCAAAGACGCCUCAAUGAUAUUAUUUUUAAAUUAAAAAUUAAAAAAAUUAAAUUAAUAUUAUUUUAUUAUUAUAUAAUAAAUAAAUAAUGUAGAGAUUUGAAAUAGUAAAAACUAAAUUCUUAUAUUAGCCAAAACAAAAGUUUUGACUUUUGCUAUUCCAAUGGGGACGCUAGGUGGAACACGUGCACUAGAACGUGUAAGCAGUAAACCCAUGCACUGCAUUUGACGUGGUUUUAAUAUAUCUUUGUUCUCGUUAUAAUUUAUGUAUGAGAAGGUCGGCUCAUAGAAGAGUUUAUUAAAUCAUUUUCUAUA
Carya illinoinensis is the source of this 956-nucleotide long non-coding RNA. RefSeq lists it as uncharacterized. The transcript has 2 exons. NCBI's taxonomy places the organism in Eukaryota, Viridiplantae, Streptophyta, Magnoliopsida, Fagales, Juglandaceae. The record is from RefSeq and is a predicted model, not a curated record.